ACGGGUUAGUAACACGUAGAUACCAACCGUCAACACAGGUAUAACCCAUCGAAAGGUGGGCUAAUCCCUGAUAGUCCCCGUGAGAUACAAAAAUUAUCUCAUGGGGUAAAUGGUCUCCGCAAGGAUUCCGGUUGACGAUGGGUCUGCGGCCUAUCAGCUAGCAGGUAGGGUAAUGGCCUACCUGGGCAAUGACGGGUAGGUGGCCUGAGAAGGUGGUCACCAACAUAGGCACUGCGACACGGGCCUAACUCCUACGGGAGGCAGCAGUCGAGAAUAUUGGUCAAUGGGGGAAACCCUGAACCGGCGACGCCGCGUGCUCGAAGAAGCCCUUCGGGGUGUAAAGAGCUUUUGUGGAGGAUGAACCUUCGGGUGACAGUACUUCACGAAUAAGGGGGUGCUAAUCACGUGCCAGCAGCAGCGGUAAAACGUGUCCCCCAAGCGUUAUCCGGAUUUAUUGGGCGUAAAGGGUCCGUAGGCGGUCUAGGAAGUCUUUGGUUAAAUACCCAGGGCUCAACCUUGGGGGUGCUAAAGAUACUCCUAGACUAGAGGACGUUAGGGGCUGAUGGAACGCUCGGUGUAGGGGUGAAAUCCGUUGAUAUCGAGUGGAACACCAAAAGCGAAGGCAUUCAGCUGGGACGGUCCUGACGCUGAGGGACGAAAGCGUGGGUAGCAAAAAGGAUUAGAUACCCUUGUAGUCCACGCCCUAAACGAUGGACACUGGCUAUCUGAAGUGUCGACCCUUCAGGUGGCGAAGCUAACGCGUUAAGUGUCCCGCCUGGGAAGUACGGCCGCAAGGCUAAAACUCAAAGGAAUAGACGGGGCUUCACACAAGCGGUGGACCAUGUGGCUUAAUUCGACGAUAAACGAAGAACCUUACCAGGGCUUGA
Molecule: ribosomal RNA, 887 nt
Filed under: uncultured bacterium
Lineage: Bacteria
Description: bacterial SSU rRNA
Rfam family: Bacterial small subunit ribosomal RNA
Source: RNAcentral